CGAAGCACAGGCUUGGGGCAACCCUGCCCUUGAAGAUGCUUCCUGCUUUUCAUUUCGUGAUGUGAGCUCAUCCCUCAUUCAGCCCUCCAGCUUCAUUUCCCUAACCUUGGGAUAAAGCUAUUUAAUCCUCUCUUUUUCCUCACAGCCAUCAUAAAGGGUGCAAGAUCAUUCCUAUUACCCCCUCAUGGCACAGGAGCGUCCCCGUUCCCCUUCAGGAUCUUCGCUGUCAAGGCCUCCUUCCUGGAGUGAAUCGCAGGCAGCCCUCAGGAGUGCACAGACCCCACUUCUGCAAGCAUGCGCUCCCACCCAGCACUGAAGGCUGCUCUACUCUGUGAUACACACAAGUCCCUUGGCCACUAAAAAGCCAGGGCUGACCUCCUCUGUGUACUUGUCCCAUUCUCCAUUGAAGAGAAUGGUCUACUCAGCCCCAUGUGUCCCUGAGAACAUGACCUGACAGUACAUGAAGGUUUAUUCCGAAUAACGACUUUUUUUUUUCUUGUUGCCCAGGCUGUAGUGCAGUGGCACGAUCUCAGCUCACUGCAACCUCUGCCUCCCAGGUUCAAGCGAUUCUCCUGCCUCAGCCUCCAGAGUAGCUGGGAAUACAGGCAUCUGCCACCACGCCCAGUUCUACUUGACAAGAGAUGACAGUGCCUUUAGGGAGGAGAAGGGACAUCUUUCCAAAGCAGCAAAUUCUUAUUGUGGAUGAAGUCAGUUCUUCAUUGGUCACAAGGACAACCCCAGAGAGUCACCCAUAGAGAAACCCUGUGCUUGGGGUUUGUCAAGGAAACGAGGAGACACGGUCUUAUUCUGUCACCCAGGCUGAAGUGCAAUGGUUUGAUCCUAGCUCACCGCAGCCUGAAACUUCUGGGCUCAAGUGAUCCUCCCAGCUCAGCCUCUCAAGUCUGGGAUUACAGGCAUGAGUCACUGUACCCAGGCUAA
Molecule: long non-coding RNA, 939 nt
Filed under: Callithrix jacchus (white-tufted-ear marmoset)
Lineage: Eukaryota; Metazoa; Chordata; Mammalia; Primates; Cebidae
Description: lncRNA (ENSCJAG00000062550.2)
Source: RNAcentral